This 575-nucleotide long non-coding RNA is filed under the name Cricetulus griseus (Chinese hamster). RNAcentral's name for it is "lncRNA (ENSCGRG00015041173.1)". Lineage: Eukaryota; Metazoa; Chordata; Mammalia; Rodentia; Cricetidae. The record is from RNAcentral.
CUGGACCCGCCUGGACUCCAGGGUCAGCCUUGCCACCCACUAGCUGCAUGCUCUGCAUCAGGGACCUGAAUAAUGCUGACAGCACAAAGUGCCCGGCCCUGCUGCAAAGUUCUCUGCAAGUUCCUACCUCCCAAUACCCCUUUGAAGUAGGUGCUGCUAACGUAAUAAGACGAUCCUAGGUUGUGUCAAGUCAGCAAUUAAAACCAUCACACUCCUACCAGGCCUGGCGGUGCAUUCAUUUCAUCCCAGCACUCAGGAGGCAGAGACCAAGUUUCUUCAGCAGAAAAUGGAGGCUUGUAACAGAUGCACUGUGAGGCUGAGGCUGCACAGAAAACAGCUGAAGCACAGCCCUUCGAGAGUCCCGUGGAGAACUCGAGGAACAGGGGUGUCAAACCAAACACCAGAAGAAAAACUCUGUGAGACAUUCUGUGCCCAGUCUCCCUGAAUUCUGCAAACCCACUUUCUCCGCUAGAGUGAAGGUAACCGAGUCCUGGCCGUGAAAGCUGACUGGUAAUGCCUAGAGUUCGUCGCAAGGUGGCAACAUUGUGGCGAGAAAUAGAUAUUAAAAAUCCUGG